UAGUCUCUAUCUACUGUCAGGACUGCUGUG
Molecule: non-coding RNA, 30 nt
Filed under: Homo sapiens (human)
Lineage: Eukaryota; Metazoa; Chordata; Mammalia; Primates; Hominidae
Source: RNAcentral